GGUGGCUCAGUGGUAGAGUGCUUGUCUCGCACGCAUGAGGCCCUGGGUUUGAUUCCUCAGCACCA
RNAcentral lists this transfer RNA (65 nucleotides) under Dipodomys ordii (Ord's kangaroo rat). It matches the Rfam family "tRNA". From Rfam's summary of the family: Transfer RNA (tRNA) molecules are approximately 80 nucleotides in length. Their secondary structure includes four short double-helical elements and three loops (D, anti-codon, and T loops). The record is from Rfam by way of RNAcentral. Lineage: Eukaryota; Metazoa; Chordata; Mammalia; Rodentia; Heteromyidae.